This 463-nucleotide ribosomal RNA is filed under the name uncultured bacterium. Its description in RNAcentral is "bacterial SSU rRNA". It matches the Rfam family "Bacterial small subunit ribosomal RNA", at positions 28 to 507 of the family's 1533-position model. The record is from RNAcentral.
GACGAACGCUGGCGGCGCGCCUAACACAUGCAAGUCGAACGAGUGGAACCCCUUCGGGGGUGAAGCUAGUGGCAGACGGGUGAGUAACACGUGGGUAACCUACCUUAUAGUUGGGGAUAACAGUUGGAAACGACUGCUAAUACCGAAUGAUACUUACGAACGGCAUCGUUUGUAAGUCAAAGAUUUAUCGCUGAAAGGUGGCCUCGCGUCUGAUUAGCUAGUUGGUGGGGUAACGGCCCACCAAGGCGACGAUCAGUAGCCGGACUGAGAGGUUGACCGGCCACAUUGGGACUGAGAUACGGCCCAGACUCCUACGGGAGGCAGCAGUGGGGAAUAUUGGGCAAUGGGCGCAAGCCUGACCCAGCAACGCCGCGUGAAGGAAGAAGGCCUUCGGGUUGUAAACUUCUUUUACCAGGGACGAAUAAUGACGGUACCUGGAGAAAAAGCAACGGCUAACUACGUG